AUGGGUCGCGACAAGUCACGGAGGCUGUCGGGCAGCCGAGACUUCCGGCAGCGGCUGGUGCUGGCGACGCUGACCUCCACCCCGAUCACCAUCAAGGACAUCCGCACCGGCGAGGGGGGCCUCCGCCCGCACGAGAUGUCCCUCCUCCACCUCAUCCACAAGGUCUCGGACCAGCACGUCAUCGACGUCAACGACACAGGGACCAAGGUCGGGUACAAGCCCGGGGUGGUCGUCGGCGGGAAGGACCUGGAGCACGACUGCGGGGCGCACCGCGGGAUCGGCUACUUCAUCGAGCCGCUCCUUCUGCUCGGCCUCUUCGCCAGGUCGCCCUUGUCGAUUCGGCUCAAAGGAAUCACAAAUGAUACAAAGGACCCUUCUGUGGAUACUUUCCGGAUGGUUACGUUGCAUAUGCUCAAGCACUUUGGCGUUCCUCUUGAGGGGCUGGAGCUCAAAAUUGAAAGCCGGGGAGCUCCUCCUCGUGGUGGUGGCGAAGUGCUUCUCCGAGUUCCCAAUAUAAACAGUACACUAAAGGCAGUUAAUUGGAUUGAUGAAGGAAUGGUAAAGAGGAUAAGAGGUGUAGCAUUCUCAACGAAUGUAUCUGCACAGAUUGUAACCCGUAUCUUCUAUGCUGCACGUGGACUCUUCAAUAAGUUCAUUCCGGAUGUUCAUAUCUUCACCGAUCAUAGAGCUAGUUCAUCUGGUGGAUGUGGAUUGUCAGCAGGCUAUGGCGUAUCUGUAGUUGCUGAGACCACAACAGGCUGUCUGAUUUCUGCAGAUGCUACUGUGAGCUAUCCCAAUGUUGAUGAAAUGAGUGAACAAUCUGAGAAGCCUGAGCUAAUGUCUCCAGAGGAUCUUGGUGAGCAAGUUGCAUCGAUGCUGCUAGAAGAGGUGGCUCAAGGAGGAGUUGUUGACUCAACACACCAGGGCCUUCUGUUCAUGCUGUGCGCUCUGUGCCCGCCCGAUGUGUCAAAGGUUCGCGUGGGACAGCUGACACUGCGCGCUAUAGAAUCACUUCGAAACAUCAAGGAGUUCCUUGAUGUCAAGUUCAUCAUCAAGCCCGACCCAAACUCAAACACGGUCACUCUAAAAUGUGUUGGUGCGGGAGUGAAGAAUCUUGCUCGGAAGAUUUCAUAA
This 1134-nucleotide ribosomal RNA is filed under the name Triticum aestivum (bread wheat). Its description in RNAcentral is "partial small subunit ribosomal RNA". Lineage: Eukaryota; Viridiplantae; Streptophyta; Magnoliopsida; Poales; Poaceae. The record is from RNAcentral.